GAUCCUGGCUCAGGAUGAACGCUAGCUACAGGCUUAACACAUGCAAGUCGAGUGGCAGCAUGAACUUAGCUUGCUAAGUUUGAUGGCGACCGGCGCACGGGUGAGUAACACGUAUCCAACCUGCCGAUGACUCGGGGAUAGCCUUUCGAAAGAAAGAUUAAUACCCGAUGGCAUAAUUUCUUCCGCAUGGUAGAACUAUUAAAGGAUUUCGGUCAUCGAUGGGGAUGCGUUCCAUUUAGG
This 240-nucleotide ribosomal RNA is filed under the name uncultured bacterium. RNAcentral's name for it is "partial 16S ribosomal RNA". It matches the Rfam family "Bacterial small subunit ribosomal RNA", at positions 15 to 245 of the family's 1533-position model. The record is from RNAcentral.